This 3018-nucleotide long non-coding RNA is filed under the name Solanum tuberosum (potato). RNAcentral describes it as "long non-coding RNA (STUB_LNC003162)". The record is from RNAcentral. Lineage: Eukaryota; Viridiplantae; Streptophyta; Magnoliopsida; Solanales; Solanaceae.
UUCAAACAUAAUUUUCUUAAUAUAAUUUAUAAGUCCUACUUUCUGAGUUGAUUUAUUUUCUUUUAAAAAAUCACUACUUAUACUUAAUUUUUUAUUUAUUUCAAUUUCAAAAGUGUCACCCACUUCAUAGAAUUUCGUACUCAAGACACAUAAGAUAAAACGUAAAGCCUGUAUUUAUCCAUGUUCAUAGUUACUAUUUCAUUCGUUCUAUAUACUAUAUAAGAGACCGUUAGUACAGCACAAACAAUACUAUAUAAAUUUCCUCAGUACAAGCAACCAUCUAAAAUAAGCUGGCUGCAGCUCCAAACAAAGAACCUUGGCAGAUUAGAAUUUAGAGGGAGACUAGUGUUAUGAACCAGCCUCAGCCCAAUGCCGAUACCUUUACGAAUGUGACACAACUAGUUAUUGGGCCGAGAAGAAGCAACAAAACUGGAAGGCCUUUGCAAAGGCUGAUUUGGGAUCCAGGCCCAUUUAACAACUAGCUAAAAGGAUGAUGGAUGAGAAGAAGUGGUUUAUGCAAAUUGUUAAAGAAAAGAGUGUUUCCUCUCAUCUCCCUUCUUAGUCUAAGCUUCUCAUCCCCUUUCUUCUACUUGUGUUCUUCAAUUUCCAUUUAGUUCUUAAAUUCCUAUGUAAUUCCAAUUACGAGUUAAUGAAAUAGAGUUGUCGGUUGUUUGAAGUUGAAUUGAGUUGGUCUUGUUAUUGAGUUUGUUACAUUGGUGCUUUCAUUGAUUCCAUCUAUCAUGGUGGACCUAUCUCAAUCCCCUGUCAUGAGUCGCUUCAGUGGUGACAAUCCUCUAGAGUGGGUGAUUCAGACAGAGAAGUAUUUCAUCUUCUACGACAUAUUAUCGGAGCAUAAACUGUCUUGGGCUUCAUUCUAUUUGGAUGGCGAGGCUUUGGAAUGGUAUCGUUGGCUUUUCCGAAACAAACAACUUGCGGGUUGGGAUCAUUUCGUAGAUAAAUUGUUUAUUCGUUUUCAGAGUCGGAAAGAUCCUUACAAUCGAUUCGCCUUUCUCCGGCAGUUUACCACAGUGGAUGAUUAUCAGGCACGGGCUGCAACUAUUUCGUCAUGGAGCACUAUCCCUAACUUGCCCUCGCCUCAGUCGUGGAAUGAACCAUCGGACUACAACAAGGUGAAAUCUGCCCACCAGGUGUUCGGUGAAAAGUCAAAUAAGACACCUGAUAUUGUUGUAGAUGUUGAGAAUGCAACAAUGCUAAUUAAAAAUGGCAGUGCUGAAAUGUUGGACACUCAAGCAAAAGAGAAGAUUUUUCAUUCGAUUUUGGAUGAAACUAAAGAGGAGGCGGAGUUCCCUGUUCCACAACACGUUAGUGAACCACUUGUAUACAACAACAAUGAGGCACACAAGGUGUUCGAUGAAUUUUCCAUAGGAUGUAAGGAUGUUAUUCUAGAAUCACACAAGGUGCUUACGAUUACCACAUAUACUAUUGAGGAAAAUGACUAUGUUAUUGAUGUUGGAAAUGAAGACAAGAAUGAGGAAGAAGAAGAAGAAGAAGAAAAGCUUUUUGCCAUUGAAAAUAAAAUACAACAACUAGUUCCUGCAUUUGUGGGAAUACGCCCAUUAUGGAUUGAUUCUACAUUUUCUACUUUCGGUGACUUUGCCAUGUUUAAUAUGAUACAUAAACUUGGGAUAACCCGAUGCUUGGAGGAGAUGUCUGAAAUGCUUUCAACUUGCAGAUAUGACCAACUUAUUAAUAGAGGUAUAAUUGAUCACUUUAGUAGUUUUGGUCAUGCUUCACUUCUCUUAACUUUGCAUCUGUUUCCACCUGAUCAAUUCGGAUUAGCGUUUCCAUUUGAUCCUGGCUCUCGUUCACUUACCAUGUUCCUUAGAGUUACAAGAAACUAUGUAUUUUGUGUCGCCUUAGACAACUUGGAUCAUAAUAAGUUAAUUAUGUCAACCUUAUGGUAUUCUUGCAUUUGGGUUGGUAAAGGACAAGAGCAAUGUCUUCCUGGUAUCUUGUUGCCUAAAUCGAGAGAGUUCAGUAGGGCGGAGAAAAUGCAGGGGUUGCUUAGGGCAUUUGCCGCACGAUAUUCAGAGCAGUUUUCUGAUAUUCUUGUCAACAAAGAUGAUGUGCUCUUGUUGACUAUAUUUGGUGUAGUUCAUAUAUCAAAGACAACUUUGUCUUAUCUAGGCUUUGGUCCUGGUCCUUAUCUUGCUUGUGAGAUAUUUGCUAAGUUACCUGGUAAGACAAUGGACGUAUUUCGCCAGCAGUUAUAUCUUGAUGAAGAACUUGCACCGCAGAGAACUGACCGACAGAUUGCCUCACUUUAUCACCUAACUCCUCGAAUGAUUCAACGUUGUUACACUGAUAGCGUCUUUGUCGAGAGUAAUUUCUUGCAAGCAAAGUUCAUAUUUCAGAUUGUUUGGGUCCUACUGUUGACAGAGCACAAGCUUAGGCCAAGCAUAAUUACUGGUUCAACUUUGAGCUCAAUUAUGUGUGAUAUAGUUGCAACUUAUUCAUGGACUGAGCAACAAAGAUUUAUUGAGGAUUAUCUUGAUUACAUUUUUAUGGAGUAUGAGUGUGGCUUUCCAGUAAAAGAAUUCCAUUCUCAUGCUGUCAAGGCGGAAAUCUCCGAAUUUAUUAUGUCAGCAAUUUUUUUGUGCAAGAUUUGGGAGCGGUUAAUGAAGAACCAGUUAAGGGCUGCACAAAGGCAGAACAAAUGGAUGGUUGAUGGUUGUGCAAGAAGUAUACAAGAUCAUAUUUUAUAUUUUGCCAACAUUGCACAGUUUGUCUUGACUACAUUUGGCAGGGAGUGUGCUACUAACAUUGUUCCUUACUCGAACCUUGAGGACAAGGUUCCUAUUGAGGACGGGAGUAUUGUUAUGAACCAGCCUCAGCCCAAUGCCGAUACCUUUACGAAUGUGACACAACUAGUUAUUGGGCCGAGAAGAAGCAACAAAACUGGAAGGCCUUUGCAAAGGCUGAUUUGGGAUCCAGGCCCAUUUAACAACUAGCUAAAAGGAUGAUGGAUGAGAAGAAGUGGUUUAUGCAAAUUGUUAA